Molecule: ribosomal RNA, 429 nt
Filed under: Acidobacteriota bacterium
Lineage: Bacteria; Pseudomonadati; Acidobacteriota
Description: Acidobacteria bacterium partial 16S ribosomal RNA
Rfam family: Bacterial small subunit ribosomal RNA
Source: RNAcentral
UGGGGAAUUUUGGACAAUGGGGGAAACCCUGAUCCAGCCAUCCCGCGUGUGCGAUGAAGGCCUUCGGGUUGUAAAGCACUUUUGGCAGGAUAGAAACGUCAUGGGUUAAUACCCCGUGUAACUGACGGUACCUGCAGAAUAAGCACCGGCUAACUACGUGCCAGCAGCCGCUGUAAUACGUAGGGUGCAAGCGUUAAUCGGAAUUACUGGGCGUAAAGCGUGCGCAGGCGGUUCGGAAAGAAAGAGGUGAAAUCCCAGAGCUCAACUUGGGAGCUGCAUUUUUAACUACCGGGCUAGAGUGUGUCAGAGGGAGGUGGAAUUCCGCGUGUAGCAGUGAAAUGCGUAGAUAUGCGGAGGAAAACCGAUGGCGAAGGCAGCCGCCUGGGAUAACACUGACGAUCAUGCACGAAAGCGUGGGGAGCAAACAGG